This 444-nucleotide unclassified non-coding RNA is filed under the name Bombus terrestris (buff-tailed bumblebee). Its description in RNAcentral is "misc RNA ENSBTSG00005026139.1". The record is from RNAcentral. Lineage: Eukaryota; Metazoa; Arthropoda; Insecta; Hymenoptera; Apidae.
GUAUCGCUACAUGUAGCAUAUCCAUUAAAAAUUGGUUAUUCCAUUAAUUAAGUUGUUAAAAUCAAGGUGAAAAUUCUGAAUGAAAAGGAAAAUCGACGAACCUGAGGUGUCCCGCGCGACUCUCAAUCCUUCAGGAUCUUCUAGGGUUCUUUCAGCUGUUGUUCUCCCUGGGGAUGUUCUCCUCGACAGAACGAGCUAUCUGCCCUUGGAAGCACGCAGGAUCUCGCGCAUGUUACCGCACCGGACUCCCUCACAACGUGCACGAGUCAUUCUGUGACACCCGCGAGUCCCUCAUCCCCGUAAUCGAUCCUCGAAACACCAUCCAAACCUCUGUGAUCCUCACGAAUUCCUACUGCGGCACGUGCCACGAUCGGUUUCCAAACACCUGGAGGCCGACUCUGGAUCAAGACUCUAGCAACUAGAGUGUCUUGCGAGCUACGGUCG